RNAcentral lists this transfer RNA (67 nucleotides) under Cherax sp. HG-2014b. RNAcentral describes it as "tRNA-Pro". The record is from RNAcentral. Lineage: Eukaryota; Metazoa; Arthropoda; Malacostraca; Decapoda; Parastacidae.
ACAGAAAAUAGUUUACUCCUAAAAUAUUAAUUUUGGAAAUUAAAGAGAAAGCCAUCCUUUUUUUCUG